UUUUAGAAUAUAUUAACAUUGCUGUAUUUAAAACGCUCAUAGUCGAAAGUAAAAUUAUUUAUAUUGUUAUCGAAAGAUCAACAGUAUAUUGUAAUUUUUAUUAUAUUACCUUGAAGAAAUUAGAGUGUUUAAAGCAAGCAUAUGCCUGAAUACAUGCGCAUGGGAUAAUAAAAUAAGACUUUUAUUGGUUAAAAAUUUAAGUAAUGAUUAACAGGGACAAUUGGGGGCACUUGUAUUUUUUAGGAAGAGGUGAAAUUUAUUGAUCUAAGGAAGACAAACGAAAGCGAAAGCAUUUGCCAAGGGUGUUUNCAUUG
Molecule: ribosomal RNA, 314 nt
Filed under: uncultured eukaryote
Lineage: Eukaryota
Description: partial 18S ribosomal RNA
Rfam family: Eukaryotic small subunit ribosomal RNA
Source: RNAcentral